GUGAAUCAUCGAAUCUUUGAACGCAAAUUGCACUCUCUUCGGGGAGUAUACCUGUUUGAGGGUCAGCCUAAAAAAAAUCGAAAUAGUUGCUGUUUUUGCGGUGACAUUUGACGGAAAUUGGGUCAUCUUAAUUCUUUGGGUUUUAAGCGGCUUAAAAUUUUCUUUACGGUUUCAACGGAUGUUUAUAAGUUUCACUCCUUACACAUGUUUAAGGUAUCGUUCUUUAUUUGAUGUGGAUGUUGCAUCGGUACUCG
This 254-nucleotide unclassified non-coding RNA is filed under the name Glomus sp. Its description in RNAcentral is "partial contains 5.8S ribosomal RNA and internal transcribed spacer 2". The stretch from base 1 to 65 matches the Rfam family "5.8S ribosomal RNA", at positions 84 to 154 of the family's 154-position model. The record is from RNAcentral. Lineage: Eukaryota; Fungi; Glomeromycota; Glomeromycetes; Glomerales; Glomeraceae.